RNAcentral lists this long non-coding RNA (271 nucleotides) under Lathyrus oleraceus (garden pea). RNAcentral describes it as "Pisum sativum (pea) long non-coding RNA (PSAT_LNC039361)". Lineage: Eukaryota; Viridiplantae; Streptophyta; Magnoliopsida; Fabales; Fabaceae. The record is from RNAcentral.
UAAUAUUUACAUGACUAGAAAGAGAAAAGGUUUAUCAAGGCAAGGCCACGACAACACAUGGUGACUUAUAGAAGCCAUGGUGGGUGAGUUGAGAGAAAGGCAACAUGUUUUACUAAAGUUUCAAAUUAAUUUUUGAGUUGUCAUCAAGUUAAGAGACUUGAAUAUUUUUGAAUUUCAAAGUACGAUUCUCAAUUACUUUACAAUUAAACCAAACAAUCAUCUCACUAUAAAAUAUGUGUUAUUUCAAAUCAACGAAUUAUUUACAUGAAAA